UACGAAGGGGGCGAGCGUUGUUCGGAAUUACUGGGCGUAAAGGGCGCGCAGGCGGCUCUGAAAGUCAGAUGUGAAAGCCCCGGGCUUAACCUGGGAAUCUGCAUUUGAUACUCUGGAGCUUGAGUACGGGAGAGGAGAGUGGAAUUCCCAGUGUAGAGGUGAAAUUCGUAGAUAUUCGCAAGAACACCAGUGGCGAAGGCGGCUCACUGGCCCGGUACUGACGCUGAGGUGCGAAAGCGUGGGGAGCAAACAGG
Molecule: ribosomal RNA, 254 nt
Filed under: uncultured bacterium
Lineage: Bacteria
Description: partial 16S ribosomal RNA
Rfam family: Bacterial small subunit ribosomal RNA
Source: RNAcentral